RNAcentral lists this ribosomal RNA (2920 nucleotides) under Streptococcus pneumoniae. Its description in RNAcentral is "bacterial LSU rRNA". It matches the Rfam family "Bacterial large subunit ribosomal RNA". RNAcentral also lists the same sequence under 9 other names. Lineage: Bacteria; Bacillati; Bacillota; Bacilli; Lactobacillales; Streptococcaceae. The record is from RNAcentral.
UUAAGUUAGAAAGGGCGCACGGUGGAUGCCUUGACACUAGGAGUCGAUGAAGGACGGGACUAACGCCGAUAUGCUUCGGGGAGCUGUAAGUAAGCUUUGAUCCGAAGAUUUCCGAAUGGGGAAACCCACCAUACGUAAUGGUAUGGUAUCCUUAUCUGAAUACAUAGGGUAAGGAAGACAGACCCAGGGAACUGAAACAUCUAAGUACCUGGAGGAAGAGAAAGCAAAUGCGAUUUCCUGAGUAGCGGCGAGCGAAACGGAACAUAGCCCAAACCAAGAGGCUUGCCUCUUGGGGUUGUAGGACAUUCUAUACGGAGUUACAAAGGAACGAGGUAGACGAAGCGACCUGGAAAGGUCCGUCGUAGAGGGUAACAACCCCGUAGUCGAAACUUCGUUCUCUCUUGAAUGUAUCCUGAGUACGGCGGAACACGUGAAAUUCCGUCGGAAUCUGGGAGGACCAUCUCCCAAGGCUAAAUACUCCCUAGUGAUCGAUAGUGAACCAGUACCGUGAGGGAAAGGUGAAAAGCACCCCGGAAGGGGAGUGAAAGAGAUCCUGAAACCGUGUGCCUACAAAUAGUCAGAGCCCGUUAACGGGUGAUGGCGUGCCUUUUGUAGAAUGAACCGGCGAGUUACGAUCCCGUGCGAGGUUAAGCUGAAGAGGCGGAGCCGCAGCGAAAGCGAGUCUGAAUAGGGCGUUUAGUACGUGGUCGUAGACCCGAAACCAGGUGAUCUACCCAUGUCCAGGGUGAAGUUCAGGUAACACUGAAUGGAGGCCCGAACCCACGCACGUUGAAAAGUGCGGGGAUGAGGUGUGGGUAGCGGAGAAAUUCCAAUCGAACCUGGAGAUAGCUGGUUCUCCCCGAAAUAGCUUUAGGGCUAGCCUUAAGUGUAAGAGUCUUGGAGGUAGAGCACUGAUUGGACUAGGGGUCCUCAUCGGAUUACCGAAUUCAGUCAAACUCCGAAUGCCAAUGACUUAUCCUUAGGAGUCAGACUGCGAGUGAUAAGAUCCGUAGUCAAAAGGGAAACAGCCCAGACCGCCAGCUAAGGUCCCAAAGUGUGUAUUAAGUGGAAAAGGAUGUGGAGUUGCUUAGACAACUAGGAUGUUGGCUUAGAAGCAGCCACCAUUUAAAGAGUGCGUAAUAGCUCACUAGUCGAGUGACUCUGCGCCGAAAAUGUACCGGGGCUAAAUACACCACCGAAGCUGCGGAUUGAUACCAAUGGUAUCAGUGGUAGGGGAGCGUUCUAAGGACAGUGAAGUCAGACCGGAAGGACUGGUGGAGUGCUUAGAAGUGAGAAUGCCGGUAUGAGUAGCGAAAGACGGGUGAGAAUCCCGUCCACCGAAUGCCUAAGGUUUCCUGAGGAAGGCUCGUCCGCUCAGGGUUAGUCAGGACCUAAGCCGAGGCCGACAGGCGUAGGCGAUGGACAACAGGUUGAUAUUCCUGUACCACCUCUUUAUCGUUUGAGCAAUGGAGGGACGCAGAAGGAUAGAAGAAGCGUGCGAUUGGUUGUGCACGUCCAAGCAGUUAGGCUGAUAAGUAGGCAAAUCCGCUUAUCGUAAAGGCUGAGCUGUGAUGGGGAAGCUCCUUAUGGAGCGAAGUCUUUGAUUCCCCGCUGCCAAGAAAAGCUUCUAGCGAGAUAAAAGGUGCCUGUACCGCAAACCGACACAGGUAGGCGAGGAGAGAAUCCUAAGGUGUGCGAGAGAACUCUGGUUAAGGAACUCGGCAAAAUGACCCCGUAACUUCGGGAGAAGGGGUGCUUUCUUAACGGAAAGCCGCAGUGAAUAGGCCCAAGCGACUGUUUAGCAAAAACACAGCUCUCUGCGAAGCCGUAAGGCGAAGUAUAGGGGGUGACACCUGCCCGGUGCUGGAAGGUUAAGGAGAGGGGUUAGCGUAAGCGAAGCUCUGAACUGAAGCCCCAGUAAACGGCGGCCGUAACUAUAACGGUCCUAAGGUAGCGAAAUUCCUUGUCGGGUAAGUUCCGACCCGCACGAAAGGUGUAACGAUUUGGGCACUGUCUCAACCAGAGACUCGGUGAAAUUAUAGUACCUGUGAAGAUGCAGGUUACCCGCGACAGGACGGAAAGACCCCGUGGAGCUUUACUGUAGCCUGAUAUUGAAUUUUGGUACAGUUUGUACAGGAUAGGCGGGAGCCAUUGAAACCGGAGCGCUAGCUUCGGUGGAGGCGCUGGUGGGAUACCGCCCUGACUGUAUUGAAAUUCUAACCUACGGGUCUUAUCGACCCGGGAGACAGUGUCAGGUGGGCAGUUUGACUGGGGCGGUCGCCUCCUAAAGUGUAACGGAGGCGCCCAAAGGUUCCCUCAGAAUGGUUGGAAAUCAUUCGUAGAGUGCAAAGGCAUAAGGGAGCUUGACUGCGAGACCUACAAGUCGAGCAGGGACGAAAGUCGGGCUUAGUGAUCCGGUGGUUCCGCAUGGAAGGGCCAUCGCUCAACGGAUAAAAGCUACCCCGGGGAUAACAGGCUUAUCUCCCCCAAGAGUCCACAUCGACGGGGAGGUUUGGCACCUCGAUGUCGGCUCAUCGCAUCCUGGGGCUGUAGUCGGUCCCAAGGGUUGGGCUGUUCGCCCAUUAAAGCGGUACGCGAGCUGGGUUCAGAACGUCGUGAGACAGUUCGGUCCCUAUCCGUCGUGGGCGUAGGAAAUUUGAGAGGAGCUGUCCUUAGUACGAGAGGACCGGGAUGGACGCACCGCUGGUGUACCAGUUGUUCUGCCAAGGGCAUAGCUGGGUAGCUAUGUGCGGAAGGGAUAAGUGCUGAAAGCAUCUAAGCAUGAAGCCCCCCUCAAGAUGAGAUUUCCCAUAGCGUAAGCUAGUAAGAUCCCUGAAAGAUGAUCAGGUUGAUAGGUUCGAGGUGGAAGCAUGGUGACAUGUGGAGCUGACGAAUACUAAUAGAUCGAGGACUUAACCAU